UGUCGAAUCCUGCACAGCAGAACAACCUGAGAACCGGUUAAUAACCAACUGGGAUAAUGGGGGGCAUAUGCCCCCUGUGCUCCCGAGUUCCGUUGCUCUUGGGUAGCCCAACGGGUCCAAGACUUCGKGAAGUAACGAAACCCGGCACGGAAUGUGCCAAGGAACCUGAACAAGAUAAGUGCAGUCCUGUUACCCCCGUUCGCGGGGUGUGUCGGGAUCAAUGCGCAAUCUUUUCUAUAAAUAUCAAAACGACUCUCGGCAACGGAUAUCUCGGCUCUCGCAUCGAUGAAGAACGUAGCGAAAUGCGAUACUUGGUGUGAAUUGCAGAAUCCCGUGAACCAUCGAGUCUUUGAACGCAAGUUGCGCCCUAAGCCAUUUGGCCGAGGGCACGCCUGCCUGGGCGUCAAUCAUCUAUUCGUCACC
Molecule: unclassified non-coding RNA, 423 nt
Filed under: Chamaenerion angustifolium
Lineage: Eukaryota; Viridiplantae; Streptophyta; Magnoliopsida; Myrtales; Onagraceae
Description: sequence contains 18S rRNA gene, ITS1, 5.8S rRNA gene, ITS2, 28S rRNA gene
Rfam family: 5.8S ribosomal RNA (bases 251-406)
Source: RNAcentral